Long non-coding RNA from Temnothorax curvispinosus, 441 nucleotides. RefSeq lists it as uncharacterized. The record is from RefSeq and is a predicted model, not a curated record. NCBI's taxonomy places the organism in Eukaryota, Metazoa, Arthropoda, Insecta, Hymenoptera, Formicidae. The transcript has 3 exons.
UCAUGGAUAGCUGGUGAAUUGAGAACUAGAGAAGCAUUAAGAAAUCAUGUUCAUCAAGUAUGGAACGAGUUGGCAUUGAAUGCUGAUUAUACGCAAAAUUUAGUGAAUUCAAUGUCGAGACGACUUCAAAUGGUCAUCGACAAGGAUGGAUUCUGGAUUCCAUACUGAAAUUAUACUUUAUUAGAAGAAGUUCUUGGAACUAUUAAUUAUCAUGGCAAAACCACUCUAAUAACAGCUGUUACCAAAGAUUGCCCGGGUCGUGCCGAUUACAUCAAAAACAUGAUCACAGGAAUAGCUCAAAUGGAUGGUGCUAUACUGCUCGUCGCUAUCACGGAUAGUAGGAUGCCACAAUUCAUCAUUUUUGAUGAUCAAUUGCAGCCGUCUUGAUAUAUAUAUUGAAGUCACCAAAUUUUGCGUAAAAACAACAUUCAAUGUCAACUC